AUGGAUAACACCGCUUUUCGUAAACUGACCGUGCUGUGCUGGAACGUGCAAGGCUUGGGUGACCCGGACAAGUGUGGGCUUGUCCGGGACGCCGUGUGUGCUGCCGACCCCUGCAUUGCGUGUCUCCAGGAGACCAAACUGGCAUCGGUGGACGCCGGAAAAUGCCGCUCCUUCCUCCCCUCUCGUCUUUCCCUUCACGCCGUGCUCGAUGCGAAUGGGAGCCGCGGGGGCAUCCUCUCUGCCUGGGACCCCAUCUCCUACCGCCUUGUCUCCUCCCUCGCCUCGGAGUUCUCCCUCACCAUCAUCCUCGAGUCCGUCGCUUCUGCCCUCAUUGUUUCGCUCACUAACGUCUAUGCCCCUAGCGACCAUGCGCGGUCUGCUGAUCUUGUCGCCGACCUCUCCACGGUCGUGGCAACCAUCAUCGGACCCUGGCUCGUUCUGGGGGAUUUCAACCUCAUCCGCUUCCCCCACGAAAAGAACAACUCCAACUUCAAUGCCCCCAGGGCGGCCCUUUUCAACGGGCUUAUCAAUUCGCUCUCUUGGUUCGAGCUCCCCCUUUCGAACCGUCUAUUCACGUGGACGAACAAACGCUCCCCCCAACCUUGGCUCGUCUCGAUCGGGCCUUCUUCAACAACGACUGGGACGUUACCUUCCCCGACUCCUCUCUGA
RNAcentral lists this ribosomal RNA (669 nucleotides) under Triticum aestivum (bread wheat). RNAcentral's name for it is "partial small subunit ribosomal RNA". The record is from RNAcentral. Lineage: Eukaryota; Viridiplantae; Streptophyta; Magnoliopsida; Poales; Poaceae.